AGGGAUAACGCACGGAAACGUGAGCUAAAACCAGAUAGGCAUUUUCCACGCAUGAGGGAGAUGAGAAAGGCGGAGCAAUCUGCCGCUUAUGGAUGGACCUGCGUCGCAUUAGCUAGUUGGAGUGGUAAAGGCACACCAAGGCGACGAUGCGUAGCCGACCUGAGAGGUGAGCGGCCACACUGGGACUGAGACACGGCCCAGACUCCUACGGGAGGCAGCAGUAGGAAUCUUCCGCAAUGGACGAAAGUCUGACGGAGCAACGCCGCGUGAGUGAAGAAGGUUUUCGGAUCGUAAAGCUCUGUCGCCAGGGAAGAAGAGCAAGGAGAGGAACUGCUCCUUGAGUGACGGUACCUGAGAAGAAAGCCCCGGCUAACUACGUG
Molecule: ribosomal RNA, 380 nt
Filed under: uncultured bacterium
Lineage: Bacteria
Description: bacterial SSU rRNA
Rfam family: Bacterial small subunit ribosomal RNA
Source: RNAcentral